UAGAAGCUGUUUGAUCCUAUGCAAUUAUAAAUAUGGGAUAACUAAAAAUAUAUACAAUUAGAAAUAUUACAGUUAUAAUUACAUGCAUCAUAUAUAGCCGAAUGUAAUAAAAGGUAUUACAACUAUGAAUUAUGUGACGCCCCGACUUCCCAGAGGGUCAUCCAUCCUAGGACUACUCCCGUCCUAACACGCUUAACUCUCUUAACCUCUUGGGGGUAGCCACCACCCAAAAUGCUUAAGUCGGGUUAAGAGUUUAGUCCUAUUAUAUCUUAUAUAUAGGACUAUCUGGGGUCUUAUAAUCUCCCAUCCUUUAAGCCCUGACGUUCUCGUCAGGCUCAGACUCACAAGUACCAGGCAAUGUAAGACUCGUCUCGCUAGCCUGUCAUCCAGACCCUGGCUCAGCCGAGACUCAUCUCACACUUCUGGCUGGUAAUUGGCUCUGAUACAUCUGUAACGCCUCGACUUCCCAAGGGAUCACCCAUCCUAGGACUACUCCCGUCCUAGCACGCUUAACUCUCUUAACCUCUUGGGUCUAGCCACCACCCAAAAUACUUAAGCCGGGUUAAGAGUUUAGCCCUAUUAUAUCUUAUAUAUAGGACUAUCUGGUGUCUCACAAAUUAUUUAUUUAUUUAUUUGUAUGAAAUUGUGAAGUAUACUUAUAAUAUUUUAUUAUUUUAUAUAUGAGAUAUUGAGAUGUGUCAUGUGGGAAAGAAAUAUUUUUUGUUUAAAGAUUAUUAGUGAGGUAAUUAAUAUUAUUUUUUAUUUAGAAUUACUCUUUUCAAUCUCUGCAAUUGAGUUACGAUCAAUUUAAGCGUAGGCCCAAUUACUAUAAUUGGGCCUCAUCAUAUAUUUUAACUACAACAAUUAAAUUCGAAAACAUCAAACUAAAUACUUUGAUUUAAAUUUAU
RNAcentral lists this long non-coding RNA (908 nucleotides) under Ananas comosus (pineapple). RNAcentral's name for it is "long non-coding RNA (ACOM_LNC018466)". Lineage: Eukaryota; Viridiplantae; Streptophyta; Magnoliopsida; Poales; Bromeliaceae. The record is from RNAcentral.